UAGAGGAAGUAAAAGUCGUAACAAGGUUUCCGUAGGUGAACCUGCGGAAGGAUCAUUACCGAAGACAAUGAAGGGUUUUGAGACUCUUAUGCGUGCUCGACCCCUUUACUUUUCUUACCCACACCUUUUGUGCACGAUGGGAGAAAUCCCUUUCACAUAAAAACCAAAUAUAUAUUGCAUGUCUUAUUAAAAUAAUGUAACAACUUUCAACAACGGAUCUCUUGGCUUUCGCAUCGAUGAAGAACGCAGCGAACGUGCGAAACGUAAUGUGAAUUGCAGAAUUCAGUGAAUCAUCGAAUCUUUGAACGCAUCUUGCGCUCCUUGGCAUUCCGAGGAGCAUGCCUGUUUGAGUGUCGUGAACUAGUCUCGAUUUCGAUUUUGAAAUCGGAUUUGGAUGUUGUUGUUGUGACUCAUCCUAAAUGCAUCAGCGAUCUGGCUUUGAUCACACGCAAUGUGAUAAGAAAAAAGCAUUGUUUCAGGGAUCAGAUCGUCUACACCCCCCCACUUCAUGUCGUUUGACCUCAAAUCAGGUAGGACUACCCGCUGAACUUAAGCAUAUCAAUAAGCGGAGGAAAAGAAACUAACAAGGAUUCCCCUAGUAACGGCGAGUGAAGAGGGAAAAGCUCAAAUUUGAAAUCUGGCGGCCUACGGUCGUCCGAGUUGUAAUGUAGAGAAGUGUUUUCCGUGCUGGACCGUGUACAAGUCCUUUGGAAUAAGGCAUCAUAGAGGGUGAGAAUCCCGUCUACGACACGGACUGCCAGUGCUUUGUGAUACACUCUCAACGAGUCGAGUUGUUUGGGAAUGCAGCUCAAAAUGGGUGGUAAAUUCCAUCUAAAGCUAAAUACAGGCGAAAGACCGAUAGCGAACAAGUACCGUGAGGGAAAGAUGAAAAGCACUUUGGAAAGAGAGUUAAACAGUACGUGAAAUUGUUG
This 932-nucleotide ribosomal RNA is filed under the name Geastrum pseudolimbatum. Its description in RNAcentral is "eukaryotic LSU rRNA". The stretch from base 517 to 932 matches the Rfam family "Eukaryotic large subunit ribosomal RNA", at positions 1 to 410 of the family's 3401-position model. Lineage: Eukaryota; Fungi; Basidiomycota; Agaricomycetes; Geastrales; Geastraceae. The record is from RNAcentral.